ACGGAAGGCAGCAGUGAGGAAUAUUGGUCAAUGGGGGAAACCCUGAUGCAGCAACGCCACGUGUGGGAAGAAGCAUUUCGGUGUGUAAACCACUGUCGUGAAGGAAUAAUGCUGGACCUCGGUCCAGUUGAAUGUACUUUGAAAGGAAGCACCGGCAAACUUCGUGCCAGCAGCCGCGGUAAUACGAGGGGUGCAAGCGUUGUUCGGAAUCACUGGGCGUAAAGGGAGCGCAGGCGGAGAUGCAAGCAGUCUGUACAAUACCGGGGCCCAACCCCGGACCUGCAGACUGGACUGUUUCUCUUGGAUAGCUCAGGGGCUGGCGGAAUUCCUGGUGUAGCGGUGGAAUGCGUAGAGAUCAGGAGGAACACCGAUGGCGAAGGCAGCUUGCUGGGGACUUAUCGACGCUCAUGCUCGAAAGUGCGGGUAGCAAACAGGAUUAGAUACCCUGGUA
Molecule: ribosomal RNA, 451 nt
Filed under: uncultured Fibrobacter sp.
Lineage: Bacteria; Pseudomonadati; Fibrobacterota; Fibrobacteria; Fibrobacterales; Fibrobacteraceae
Description: partial 16S ribosomal RNA
Rfam family: Bacterial small subunit ribosomal RNA
Source: RNAcentral